Molecule: ribosomal RNA, 750 nt
Filed under: Azotobacter salinestris
Lineage: Bacteria; Pseudomonadati; Pseudomonadota; Gammaproteobacteria; Pseudomonadales; Pseudomonadaceae
Description: bacterial SSU rRNA
Rfam family: Bacterial small subunit ribosomal RNA
Source: RNAcentral
UUUAGAGUUUGAUCCUGGCUCAGAUUGAACGCUGGCGGCAGGCCUAACACAUGCAAGUCGAGCGGCAGCGGGACCUUCGGGUUGCCGGCGAGCGGCGGACGGGUGAGUAAUGCCUAGGAAUCUGCCUGUUAGUGGGGGAUAACGCGGGGAAACUCGCGCUAAUACCGCAUACGUCCUACGGGAGAAAGUGGGGGACCUUCGGGCCUCACGCUAACAGAUGAGCCUAGGUCGGAUUAGCUGGUUGGUGGGGUAACGGCCCACCAAGGCGACGAUCCGUAACUGGUCUGAGAGGAUGAUCAGUCACACUGGAACUGAGACACGGUCCAGACUCCUACGGGAGGCAGCAGUGGGGAAUAUUGGACAAUGGGCGAAAGCCUGAUCCAGCCAUGCCGCGUGUGUGAAGAAGGUCUUCGGAUUGUAAAGCACUUUAAGUCGGGAGGAAGGGCUGUAGGCGAAUACCCUGCAGUUUUGACGUUACCGACAGAAUAAGCACCGGCUAACUUCGUGCCAGCAGCCGCGGUAAUACGAAGGGUGCAAGCGUUAAUCGGAAUUACUGGGCGUAAAGCGCGCGUAGGUGGUUUGGUAAGUCGGAUGUGAAAGCCCCGGGCUCAACCUGGGAACUGCAUCCAAAACUGCCAGGCUAGAGUACGGUAGAGGGUGGUGGAAUUUCCUGUGUAGCGGUGAAAUGCGUAGAUAUAGGAAGGAACACCAGUGGCGAAGGCGACCACCUGGACUGAUACUGACACUGAG